Molecule: ribosomal RNA, 506 nt
Filed under: uncultured bacterium
Lineage: Bacteria
Description: bacterial SSU rRNA
Rfam family: Bacterial small subunit ribosomal RNA
Source: RNAcentral
AUUGAACGCUGGCGUCAUGCCUAACACAUGCAAGUCGAACGGUAACGCGGAGAGCUUGCUCUCUGGCGACGAGUGGCGGACGGGUGAGUAAUACUUAGGAAUCUGCCCAAUAGUGGGGGAUAGCCCGGGGAAACCCGGAUUAAUACCGCAUACGCACUACGGUGGAAAGCGGGGGAUCGUAAGACCUCGCGCUAUUGGAUGAGCCUAAGUCGGAUUAGCUUGUUGGUGGGGUAACGGCCUACCAAGGCGACGAUCCGUAGCUGGUCUGAGAGGACGAUCAGCCACACUGGGACUGAGACACGGCCCAGACUCCUACGGGAGGCAGCAGUGGGGAAUAUUGGACAAUGGGCGAAAGCCUGAUCCAGCAAUGCCGCGUGUGUGAAGAAGGCCUGCGGGUUGUAAAGCACUUUCAGUAGAGAAGAAAAGCCUGGCGUUAAUACCGCCGGGUCUUGACGUAACCUACAGAAGAAGCACCGGCUAACUCCGUGCCAGCAGCCGCGGUAACG